AGAUACCGAGUUUCCUACUCUGAUAGCAUGGAAUCUGAGGUUUAGGAUGGCUAAAGUGAUGCAGAGCCCCAUGGCUAGAAUUUCCUUCACUGGUGCUUAGAGUAUUAAUCAAAAAAUGAAAUCUUCACUUGUGUCCAGUAAAGUGUUCCAUCCUGAGAUCUUCUGCUCUGUUUGGACUUCUGCCACUGGAGCUGAACAGCAGAGAAGCCAGGCUGGGUCAAAGCUCCUGGAGGCAGAAGCCUUAACCCUACUUCUGGAAGCCUCUGUUCACUGCUUGGCUCGCGCGGCUCGUGCGCCCCCUCCCGAGCAGCACCAGAACUGCAGAGCCCAGCCCCCGAGAAAGAGUGAGCUGCCAGGGUGGUCUGAAUGGGAGGCAAAGCUCAAGGAACCUUCUCAGGAGUUGAUUCUCCAGGACUAUGGAAAGCAAAGAGCAGAUCGUGAAAUGAUGCGGAGGGCGCCGCCUGCAUGAUCCUCGAGUUCCUGACGUUCCUGGGCUCAGUUGACAUGUCGGUGGGAAGGAAGGGCGGGUUGCAUCCUGCCUGUCAAAGGGAUAACUUCUUAGCUGCCCUGCUGCUGGACCCUGACCUCGAUCUAUGGGCUUCUUCAUGACUACUUGGAUGGAUGCAGAGGUCCACCUCUGGAGCUCCACCAACUUCAUCUUAGAGAUUGAGCCUUAGUGAAGAGACACUGCCAGGGGUCACUAAAGCUUCACUGAAAGGGUCCCUGUGCUACAGAGUUGCAGGGUGGAUCUAUCACUCAUCUGUUUGCAGUUGAAGAAGACCCUGGCCAUCAGGAGGAGAAUUCAGCCUCAAGACUCCC
This 819-nucleotide long non-coding RNA is filed under the name Mus musculus (house mouse). Its description in RNAcentral is "RIKEN cDNA 9530020I12 gene". The record is from RNAcentral. Lineage: Eukaryota; Metazoa; Chordata; Mammalia; Rodentia; Muridae.